RNAcentral lists this ribosomal RNA (446 nucleotides) under uncultured bacterium. RNAcentral describes it as "bacterial SSU rRNA". It matches the Rfam family "Bacterial small subunit ribosomal RNA", at positions 329 to 792 of the family's 1533-position model. The record is from RNAcentral.
GUCCAGACUCCUACGGGAGGCAGCAGUGGGGAAUAUUGCACAAUGGGGGAAACCCUGAUGCAGCGACGCCGCGUGAGCGAUGAAGUAUUUCGGUAUGUAAAGCUCUAUCAGCAGGGAAGAAAAUGACGGUACCUGACUAAGAAGCCCCGGCUAACUACGUGCCAGCAGCCGCGGUAAUACGUAGGGGGCAAGCGUUAUCCGGAUUUACUGGGUGUAAAGGGAGCGUAGACGGCGAUGCAAGCCAGAUGUGAAAGCCCGGGGCUCAACCCCGGGACUGCAUUUGGAACUGUGUGGCUGGAGUGUCGGAGAGGCAGGCGGAAUUCCUAGUGUAGCGGUGAAAUGCGUAGAUAUUAGGAGGAACACCAGUGGCGAAGGCGGCCUGCUGGACGAUGACUGACGUUGAGGCUCGAAAGCGUGUGGAGCAAACAGGAUUAGAUACCCGGGUA